AUUGAACGCUGGCGGCAGGCCUAACACAUGCAAGUCGAACGGUAACAGGAAGCAGCUUGCUGCUUUGCUGACGAGUGGCGGACGGGUGGGUAAUGUCUGGGAAACUGCCCGAUGGAGGGGGAUAACUACUGGAAGCGGUAGCUAAUACCGCAUAACGUCGCAAGACCAAAGAGGGGGACCUUAGGGCCUCUUGCCAUCGGAUGUGCCCAGAUGGGAUUAGCUAGUAGGUGGGGUAACGGCUCACCUAGGCGACGAUCCCUAGCUGGUCUGAGAGGAUGACCAGCCACACUGGAACUGAGACACGGUCCAGACUCCUACGGGAGGCAGCAGUGGGGAAUAUUGCACAAAGGGCGCAAGCCUGAUGCAGCCAUGCCGCGUGUAUGAAGAAGGCCUUCGGGUUGUAAAGUACUUUCAGCGGGGAGGAAGGGAGUAAAGUUAAUACCUUUGCUCAUUGACGUUACCCGCAGAAGAAGCACCGGCUAACUCCGUG
Molecule: ribosomal RNA, 490 nt
Filed under: uncultured bacterium
Lineage: Bacteria
Description: partial 16S ribosomal RNA
Rfam family: Bacterial small subunit ribosomal RNA
Source: RNAcentral